GGUGAAGGAGAGCUUGCUCUCCGGAUCAGUGGCGAACGGGUUGAGUAACACGUGAGCAAUCUGCCCCUGACUCUGGGAUAAGCGUUGGAAACGACGUCUAAUACCGGAUACGAGCUGCGAAGGCAUCUUCAGCAGCUGGAAAGAACUUCGGUCAGGGAUGAGCUCGCGGCCUAUCAGCUAGUUGGUGAGGUAAUGGCUCACCAAGGCGUCGACGGGUAGCCGGCCUGAGAGGGUGACCGGCCACACUGGGACUGAGACACGGCCCAGACUCCUACGGGAGGCAGCAGUGGGGAAUAUUGCACAAUGGGCGCAAGCCUGAUGCAGCAACGCCGCGUGAGGGACGACGGCCUUCGGGUUGUAAACCUCUUUUAGCAGGGAAGAAGCGAAAGUGACGGUACCUGCAGAAAAAGCACCGGCUAACUACGUGCCAGCAGCCGCGGUAAUACGUAGGGUGCAAGCGUUAUCCGGAAUUAUUGGGCGUAAAGAGCUCGUAGGCGGUUUGUCGCGUCUGCUGUGAAAACCCGAGGCUCAACCUCGGGCCUGCAGUGGGUACGGGCAGACUAGAGUGCGGUAGGGGAGAUUGGAAUUCCUGGUGUAGCGG
Molecule: ribosomal RNA, 601 nt
Filed under: Microbacterium sp. 42AAV
Lineage: Bacteria; Bacillati; Actinomycetota; Actinomycetes; Micrococcales; Microbacteriaceae
Description: bacterial SSU rRNA
Rfam family: Bacterial small subunit ribosomal RNA
Source: RNAcentral